CCUACGGGAGGCUGCAGUGAGGAAUAUUGGUCAAUGGGCUUACGCCUGAACCAGCCAAGUCGCGUGAGGGAAGACUGCCCUAUGGGUUGUAAACCUCUUUUGUCAGGGAGCAACGCCGGCUACGUGUAGCCGGACUGAGAGUACCUGAAGAAAAAGCAUCGGCUAACUCCGUGCCAGCAGCCGCGGUAAUACGGAGGAUGCGAGCGUUAUCCGGAUUUAUUGGGUUUAAAGGGUGCGUAGGCGGAAUGCCAAGUCAGCGGUAAAAUCGCGGGGCUCAACCUCGCUCCGCCGUUGAAACUGGCGUUCUUGAGUGGGCGAGAAGUAAGCGGAAUGAGCGGUGUAGCGGUGAAAUGCUGAGAUAGUGCGCAGAACACCGAUUGCGAAGGCAGCAUACCGGCGGCGAUCUGACGCUGAGGCACGAAAGCGUGGGUAUCGAACAGGAUUAGAUACCCGAGUAGUC
Molecule: ribosomal RNA, 460 nt
Filed under: uncultured bacterium
Lineage: Bacteria
Description: partial 16S ribosomal RNA
Rfam family: Bacterial small subunit ribosomal RNA
Source: RNAcentral